UGCCAGCCGCCGCGGUAAUACGGAGGGAGCUAGCGUUGUUCGGAAUUACUGGGCGUAAAGAGCGUGUAGGCUGUUAGGUAAGUCAGAGGUGAAAUCCCUAAGCUCAACUUAGGAACUGCCUUUGAUACUAUUUUACUAGAGAUCGAGAGAAGUUGGCGGAAUUCCAAGUGUAGAGGUGAAAUUCGUAGAUAUUUGGAAGAACACCAGUGGCGAAAGCGGCCAACUGGCUCGUUUCUGACGCUGAGACGCGAGAGCGUGGGUAGCAGACAGGAUUAGAUA
RNAcentral lists this ribosomal RNA (279 nucleotides) under uncultured bacterium. RNAcentral's name for it is "partial 16S ribosomal RNA". It matches the Rfam family "Bacterial small subunit ribosomal RNA", at positions 506 to 784 of the family's 1533-position model. The record is from RNAcentral.